CCCACAGUGACUGCCAGCCACCAAUUACACUUUGGGUGCCAAAGUGAAACAGCUGAGGGCUCUCCACAGAUAAAGAAAGGAGCAUCCUACUUGGCAAAAGCACCUUCUUGAGCCACAGCUGGAGUCCAUAGCCCAGGAAUCAUACUCCAUGAAUGUCCUUGCAUUUCCAGUUACAAACUGCCCUUUAUGGAGAAAGAAUUUAAUGAAAAAUGAGUACUGCAGAGUGCACUCUUCAAAUUGACAGAAAAAAAUAUUCUUAGCAAAAUUUAGGCUAUAAUUAUAAGAAAAGAUAUUGGUAGUGAGUAUGAGUAUGGGUAAAAUGUGUUUUCCUUUGCUCUCUUUGUAAACCCUAACUGAGUGAUAAUGUAUUUAUCCUGAGCACAUAAUCACUGUAUAUUCCAGGGAAAGGGUUUGGAAAUUUCACUAAAACAUUGCAUUGGAUAUUCUGUCAUUGCUGCAUUUUAAAAGCAGCAAAAGCCCUUUGAGAAAAUUCAUGCCCUUUUUUAGUCAAUGACAAACAAAUAUGUAGUCCAGAGAAAAAUCCAUUCUCUUUCUUUUUUGCAGUCAGUGUGACUUUUCAUGGGAACAUGUAUUUUGAGUAUGUUCACAGCCUUGCUACCACCACAGAUAAAAGAAGUUUCAACUGCUCCAACCAAAACAUUGUGGAGACAACUUUACAUGGAUUUUGAACUAUCACAGCAAAAUUCAAACAGAAGUUGAAAGCAUAAUAUAUUUUUUGUUCAUAUAUGAAUACUUUGCUGCGAAAACAAGUCAUACCCGUGUCUCAGCCCACAGUAACUGCCUGCAAUUCAAAACAAUGAUUCAGCACAGGGUAUGUGAUGUUGUGAACAGUUUAACGAUUUUUUUUUUUCCUCAAAACUUUUGGCACUUCAGCCUCAGACGCUAUUUGUACAGAGCAAAAGUUCAGGCAAGCUUUUCAAACUAAAAAAAAAACAAACGGAGAGUUUUCCGUUCAUGCUUAAAUGCUUGGAGAGCAUUUUAAAGGCUAUCAAUUAAAAGGCUUUACAUUUCAAGCCCAUUUGGAUUUCUCUGAUGAUGUUUUCCAGAAGAUCUGUGUGUUCAAAUGCAAUGUGAGAGGGAAGCUCCAACACUGCUUUCUGUUUCUUUCUCGGACGAGUGUGCCCUGUUCCUGCACCUUCCCUCUCACCCUCUUGGGCCGGCUCUCAUCUCUGCACAGACCUUUAUUGCAAAGGAUCUCCCCAUCCAUAUCCCCCUGGGUGACAGGAUGGUUGCCACAGACUGGGUCUGGGUUACAGCCUGCUUGUAGCCAGAUGGUCUGUAAGGCUCUGACCCCAGCUGUAGGAUGCCAUGACUCACACCUGCCCUUGGGAGUGCUGCGGGGAGUUUCCUCUCAUCGCCUUCCUGGAAAACCAGCAGGAGCGAGUGUGGUGCCAGACGCUCCCGAGCUGCCAGAGGCUGAAAGACAAUUUCCAUUCAACUCAUAUCCCAUAUGAGGAAUCUGCAUUUGUUUCCUGUGAGCAAGUAUGGAUUUUCCACUUCUAUCUACUCAGACCCUGAUCAUAACAGCACCAUGUCAGCAGCUUUGCAAGAGAUCGCAUGUGUUUUCCAAGGUCUGGUGGUGGAAAAUCUGGAAAGCAAUAUUUCACGUCUCUCAGAAGGCUGUUUAUUCUCAAAAAUGCUCAGUUAUUUAGCCUUUUAGCAAUUACCCAUCCCUAAUUUGAAGACCAUUCGUCCAGGAGCUAAGGCAUUGAGCUGUAAUGAAUCAUUUGUUUCUUUUAUGGGGAUUAAGUGCAUUGCUAAACAAAGACUAAGUUGCAUAAUUUUUUUUUUCCUUUUUGGUGAAUAGAAAAGUGACAAAGGAAUGAGAAAUAUAUAUAUCUAUAUCAAUAUACCUAUAUCUCAGGUUUUUGGGGUUUGGAAUUCCUUUUUUAGAGGCUCCAUUUUUGGCACUGCCAGUAGAGUACUACCAGCAGAGCCCGCUAUGGGACCACUCAAAUUUGAAAGAGAAAGGUGGACAUUCACAACAAGGUUUCUGAUGUUUCACUGUUUUCAUAAAUCACUGGAAUUAAGUUUCACAAAGAGCCACCACCCAUCAGUCUCAAGCACCUACUUAUCCAUGGAAGAGGAGACACCGAGUGUCACCCAGCGGAUGUUGCCCUCAGCAGAUCAACAGUAAUCUCAGAGGUAGCACCACAUCCACCUAAGCUCAUCCUUCCUGAUUUUUUUGCAAUGAUAUGCCUAAGUAUAGAGUUAAUUAAACUUCCCAGCUGGUCUGGGAGACGAGGCGUCAGAUGGGCGUAAUGUAUUCAGCAGCGAAGGGACAAGGAGUAUUUAGGUUGAUUGUUAAGCAACAACACUACGUGCUGUGGGCAAGAAGGACACAAUGCCAGCUCUGGAAAUUUCACAACUGUAGAGCUUUUUUCCUCAAGACUUUGUAAUUGAGGCUUGCGGGGUUAAUAAACAACAACCACCACCAAUAGUAACA
This 2467-nucleotide long non-coding RNA is filed under the name Cyanistes caeruleus (blue tit). RNAcentral's name for it is "lncRNA (ENSCCEG00000010984.1)". Lineage: Eukaryota; Metazoa; Chordata; Aves; Passeriformes; Paridae. The record is from RNAcentral.